RNAcentral lists this long non-coding RNA (19129 nucleotides) under Populus trichocarpa (black cottonwood). Its description in RNAcentral is "long non-coding RNA (PTRI_LNC003913)". The record is from RNAcentral. Lineage: Eukaryota; Viridiplantae; Streptophyta; Magnoliopsida; Malpighiales; Salicaceae.
AGCUAUCUUAGGCCAGUCCUCUCCUAAAUCUUUCUCACACCUUUUCUUCAAAUUUGGACAAUCCCAAAUGGUUAGAGAUCGGAGAGAAGUGAGAUGUUGGAUACUCUCUGGCAAUGAAUUCAGCUCUGGACAUCCAUAAAGCCACAAAUGCUCAAGUGCCGUCAGAUGUCGCACUCCCUCUGAUAAAGAUGUGAAUUUAUCACAAUGUCUAACAACUAAUAUCCAAAGAGAAGAUAAGCCACACAGCCCAUCCAUUGGCAGACAAUUUAAUCUUCCACAAUCAGCUAUCCUUAAAUCCUCCAAGGAAUUGAGGUUACGAAGACCUUCCUCUGGCAAGCUUUCAAGUUUCCCGCAACCCCAAAUACUCAAGCUUUUAAGAGCAGAAAGGUUAUCUAAUAUCCUAUUUGACAAAGACUCCAGAUCUGACAUCCAUCUAAUUUCUAAGCUUUCAAGGAGGGAAUGAUUUUGCAAAAACCCGUCGGGAAGCUCCCUCACAUUUGGAAUGUUUCCUAUAUGAAGGGAGGUGAUUGAAGUGAAAUUCCUAACUGACAUCAGCAACGAAGUAUUCACUCCAAAGAUUUGUACUGUUUUGACAGAGGGUAUAAUUGGCAUUUCGUUCAACAGAGGGCAACCGUCUAUCUUCAAUUCUCGAAGGCGAGGAAAACGACACGCGGCCCAUUGCUCUAAUCCCUUCAUGUACUCAAAAUUCAGCGUCUCCAAAGAUGGGAAUGGAUUUUGCCCAUCUCCAUACACAUUGCUGUCAAUACUCUUCACACCAUCCAUUCCUUGUAAUUUAAGAUUCUUGAGGAACUGUAGUUUCCCCAACGGUGGAAGUUGUUCACAGUGGUCACAUGCUGAUAGCUCCAUCUCUACCAGAUUUGGUAGCGUCAUGUUCAAGUUCAUCAUCCAAUUAGGAAAUCUUGAACCUCCGUAUCCCCAUAUCUUCAACUUCUUCAGAUUUGAAUGAGGCUGAAGCCCUUCAAGGACCUCCUCGUUAUUUUCUUGAAUAACACUCUUUCUUUGUUGUGGUGCUCCAUUCCCAUGCCAAGAUAAAGUCAGUGAUAAAAGAGCUGUCUUCAACUUCAAAUUGGCACUUUUGGCAUCUUUUAAAUUCUUAACAUUCACAAGAUCUGCGAUACUCAAUUCACCAGCAAGAUUAUUCAGCCUUUCCAGCUCGCUUAUGCUACGACCAUUCUCCCCACCCACAAUGAACAGGGUAAGUUUUCGCAGGCCUAUCAAUUGCCCCAUUCCAGCAGGCAUAUCUCGAAGUGAACCACAAUCCGUGAUGUCAAGAUAGACAAGACUUUUCAUGUGCUUCAUACCUUUUGGUAAUUGGAUGAGUUCAUCGCAAUCUCUCAGAUCUAGUGUCUGUAGGUUUUGGAGAGAGGUUGUACUUUCAGGCAGUGUUCUGAUACUGGAGCCUGACACAUCUAGAUACCUUAGAUGUUUCAAAUCACAAAUUGACUUUGGCAAUUUCUCCACCAGGACAUUUCUUAAACUCAAGGCUCGAUGUUUUCGACCAGGAAUCUUUCCCCAUCCAUUCCAAUACUGUUCAUUCCUCAAAAGAAGUGAGCGAAGUGAUAGGACCUUGAGAACUUCAGAAGAUGGAGCUACUUCUUUGUUAUAAAAAGCUACAUGACGGACAGUUUUAGGAAUUUCCAACCUCCCAUCGCCUUCUGUACUCAUAUAGCAUUCUUGUACUGCAAUGGAUUGCGCAAGAUCAUGCAUAAGAUCAUGCAUUUUACAUGUUAUGUUGCCAAAUCCAUCAUCCUCGACCUCUUGCAGAAAUGACCUUCCCACUAGUUCAUUGAAUAUCUCAAUGCCCAUGACGUGCAAAUCCAUUUCUCUUCUGCAAGAAAUAAAGCCAUUUGCCAUCCACAAAGCAAUCAGCUCCUCCCUCCUCAUCACCUCAUCUUUUGGAAAUAUAGCGCAAUACGCAAAGCAUUGCUUCAAAUGUGGUGAUAGAUUAGUGUAACUCAACCUCAAAGCAGGUAAGAUCUCGUUUGCUUCUUCUCUUAGAUCCCAAAUCUCACUUUCUUUGACAGCUAUCCACUGAUCUUCACUUUCUUUUAACCGCAUUAGGUUCCCUAGUGCCUUUAUAGCUAAAGGAACACCACCACACUUCUUCACUAUUGAUACUCCAAUGGCUUCCAGGCGUGCCCUCUCCUCUUUCCUUCUCAUCCCGAAUGCAAGCUGUUGAAACAACCGCCAAGAAUCUUCUUCAGACAAUCUCCCCAUGUGCUUGACAAAAGCUGUUGCCAUUCUAAGAGCAAUCAUCUCAAUACGCGUAGUUACUAUGACAGCACUAUCUUUAGCUCCACACCUUAAUACCUCCUUCAAUUUAUUCCACCUAUCACCAUAAUCAUCCCACACAUCAUCCAAUACAAGCAAAAACUUCUUUCUAUUUAACUUCUGUUGGAGGCAUUGUUGCAAGGGAUCCAAUUCUUGAAGACCACAAGGGGAACCAUCAAUGGACUCUAUGAUGGCUCUUGUUAAUCUUCUGAGAUCGAAAUCAGUAGAUACACACACCCAGAUCCUCAAACUGAAUUGCUGUUUAACACUUUCUUCAUUGAAGACCAGUUGAACAAGUGUUGUUUUACCCAGCCCCCCCAUCCCCCAUAUCGCAUAAAUAGGGAGAUCACCUGAAGUAGUGAGCAGCAAGUUGAUUAGUUCCUCUUUCUCCUUGCCUCUUCCAUAAAUUUCUGAUUCAUUCACCGAAGACCAAGUCUGACGCUGAACAAAACCAUCUGCUUCCAUCUCCACAGCCCCCUCUGUUAGGUGGAAAUUUUGUCUCUCCUUGGCAAUGGCAUCCAGUUUUUCUCUAACAUUCAUCAAUUUAUGAGCCAUCCUUUGUCGAAAAACAAGUGGAUUAUGUUUGCUAGAAAAGAAGGAUCUUACUCGAUUUUGGAGAUCUCUUCGCUGCAGAAGCCACUUAGCUUCAAUUGCAAAGUCAUCCAGUACAUCAUCAACAACAUAAGCUGCAUCCUUGAGGUCGCUGAGCCACACCUUGAUAGGCUCACUCUUCCACUGCUUCUCCUCUGCAUCUUGCAGCACAGCUUGAAUGGUUCUGAACGUGCGCUUGAGAUUUUCAAGCUCGGUCGUUAGGCCCCCAGCAAGUCCAAGCUCUUGAAGAAUUGGGGAAUUCAAGUUGCCCAUGAUUGUACUCGCGAGAGCAGAAAGAAUUGCAUCAGCCAUGGCUUGUUUUGGAAUGGAAAAGAAGAAGUAGAAAAGGUGCAAGGAAAACUAAAAGCAGGGGAGGUGAGAAAGAAAUGGCAAGUAAAUAUUGAGAAGACAGAGCAGUAUGAGAUGAAAAAUGGAUAAGGCAAACAGCAGUCUCUGAUUAUUUUGAUUAGGCUCCACACGGUGCAGGCUUGACUUGGCUAUGCCUAUAAUAAUAUAAUAAAGCAAUUGAAGUUUCAGAGAAGGAACUUUUGUCAAUUAUUGCAUGCCUUUUCCUGUUUGAAACCUGGACCUACUGAGAAUCCUUCCUAUAUCUGUAACAGAAACGUGAUCAACGCUUUUGGCUGUGAAUUCUCAAGGGUAUUUUUCUUUUCAAUUUAUUCUCCAUUAGCUAGACACAGUGCAAAACGUUUUAGAUAAAUGUGUUUUAAUCCUCGGUUAGAGUUAAUUUAUUCUUAAUGACAGUAGAAUGACAUCAUAAUCACAACUAAUCUCAAAAACUUAUUCGAAACAAACAUUAAAAAAAAAAAGGGUGAUAGAAGAGAAUUAUUCGAACAAGCUAGGUGGUCACGAUCAUGAACUCCAGCAUUUGUCCCGACCUCGAUCCAAACCAUAAUCACACGGUUGCCCGUAUUAUGUUUUUAAUAAGGUUAUAUAUCCUUAUAUAUCCUGUCAAAUCUCCAAUUCAUGUCAUAAGACCUUGCUAACAUGUAGAAGUAAAUAAAAAAAAUCAUUAAACUCAUUUCUCAAUCAAUCCAAUAUUGAAUAAUGAAAUUGAAAAAAAAAUCAGUCAAUUUUAUAAGUCUAAAAACAACUUAAAUAACAGGUAAAAAUAUAGCUUCAUAAAAAAAAUUAAGACAAUAUUAUUUUUUAAAUAGUAAGAUGAUAAUAUAUUGGAUCUACUUAGAUUUACUUAAGACGAUAUUAUUUUUUUAAUAGUAAGAUGAUAAUAUAUUGGAUCUACUUAGAUUUACUUAAGACGAUAUUAUUUUUUUAAUAGUAAGAUGAUAAUAUAUUGGAUCUACUUAGAUUUACUUAAGACGAUAUUAUUUUUUUAAUAGUAAGAUGAUAAUAUAUUGGAUCUACUUAAAUUUACUCAAAUCUAUUUGGAUUCCCUCGAAUCAACUAAGGUUAUAUAUCCUGUCAAAUCUCCAAUUCAUGUCAUAAGACCUUGCUAACAUGUAGAAGUAAAUAAAAAAAAUCAUUAAACUCAUUUCUCAAUCAAUCCAAUAUUGAAUAAUGAAAUUGAAAAAAAAAUCAAUUAGAAAAAUAGGUCGAGUAAACCUUAGUUAACCUGUAAAAACUUAGUCACGAGACCGAGAUAACCGCAUAGAAAAAAUUUAAAAUAAAUUAUGAAGCUCAAUUCUCAAUCAAUCCAAUUUUAAAGGAUGAAAUUGAAUAAAAAAUCAAUUAAAAAAAGAGCACGAAAAAACCACUCGAGUCAAAUCGAGUUAACCUACCAAACUUGUGACUUGAGUCAUGAGGCUGGCAUAACUUCAUGUAAACAAACCGAAAUAAAUUAUAAAAUAUAAUACUUAAUCAACUCAAUAUUGAAUGAUAAAAUUGAAAAAAGAGAAAAAAAACUCGAGGCAAUCAGGCAACUCACGACCUGGGUCAUGAAACCAUGAUAACCCAUAAAAAAUAAAUGAAAACAAAUUAUGAAGUACAAUUCUCAAUUAACCCAAUGUUGAAGGAUUAAUUUGAAAAAAAAAAUCAAUUAAAGAAACAAAAAAAAUCUUGAUUCAAACUCGGUUAACUUGUCAAACUUGAAUCAUGAGACCGGGAUAACUCUAUAGAAAUAAAAAAAAAAAUUAUGAAGUCAAAUUUUUAAUUUGGAUAAUGAAAUUGAAAAAAAUCAAUUAAAAAGAACAAAGGAUCUAAAAAAAUUCGAAUCAAAUUGGCUAACCCGCAAAAUUUGCGAUCUUGGUCACGAGACCAUGAUAACCUUAUAGAAAGCAAAUAGAAAAAAUCAAAUCAAAUUCUCAAUCAACUCAAUACUGAAGGAUGAAGUUGAAUUUUUUUAAAAAAAGAACAAAAAAAAAUUGAGUAAAUUCGUGUUAACUUGUCAGAACUUAGAUCAUAAAACUAAGAUAACUUCAUAGAAAAUAAAUCAAAAUAAAUUAUGAAGUUCAAUAUUUACUAAACUCAAUAUUAAAAAAUAAAAUUAUAAAAAAAUAAAAAUAAAAUAAAAAAUCUUGAGAACCAAAUUGUAAAAGUUCAAAGCAUUUCAAUGUUCAUUGUAAUAAUGAAAUGCUAAGUUCAUUUAGUAAACCUUGAGGUUCAAAUUAUAAAAGACUAACACAUUUCACAUUUAAUUGUUUAUUGCUAUAAUAAAAUAUCAAAGUUUUUUUAAUAUAUGUUAAUAAUAAUUAUUAAAUGGAUGGAGAAACGUGGUGAAUAAGUAUAUUUUUCUAAACUAACCAAAGCUUACCACAAGAAUUUUUUCAGCAUAAUUUUUUCAGCAUAUUUUAAAUUUUAUUUUAAUCAAGAGUUUAAUUGAAAAAUUAAUGAGUUUGAGGACUUAAUUAAACUUUGAUUUAAUUAAUUAAAUAAAUUCAGGGACUUAAUUGAAAUUAAUCCAAGGGUAAAAUUAAAAGAUUGUUGGGAUCAAAUUGUUAAAUUUCCAGAGGCAGGGGUCAAAUUGAAAAUUCCCAUUUUCUACCGAAACGGCACCGUUGCUAAGGAACAGCCGUGCGUCUUCUCCAUCCCGAUUCAACAGGGGAGCUCCCGAUUCAGCAGGGGAGCUGAUAAUCUGCAACAAAUCCGAUCAUGGACCACGUCUCUUGCCCACUAUCUCGUUCGUGGAUUCCAUAACAGUCCUGCAAAGGCAGGACUGGUGGAAGGGCAAGCUUCUCUAUAAAACGGAGAAGAAAACCCAGAACCAGAGGGGGAGAAUGAACCGAAAAAUUAACCCAAAAACAGAGAAAAAAAGCAGAGAAAAUUGAACAAAAAACCGGGAAUAAAGAAGCAAGCAAAACCCAGAAAAGGCCUCAGCAACAGAGGAGGAGGGGCCGAAAAUCAGAGGAGGAAACAGAACCAGAGGGGAUUGGGACGAACAGGCCAGCAACAGAGGAGGAAGGGACGAAGAUCCAAAGAUAGAAAAAGAGGGCAUAGAACACAGCAAAAAAAGUCAAAUAUACAGGGGCAGAGCAGGAACCGAAACAGCAAAACUGGGGAAAGAACCGGCAGAUCACAGAGCCGAACAGAGACUAAAACCUGGGGAAACAGAGGGGAAGAGACAGAACCAGGAGGGGCUAAAACUGAACCCAGAAAAACAGAGUCAAGAACCAAUAAAACGCAAGCCACAAAUAGAGCAAAAAAGGAGACCCAAUUUCGAAAGGAGAAGCCAGCACUGUACACUUUUCUUCAUCACAAGGACUGAAAGGGCACUGGACUGGAGAAAAGAAGACCACGAACAAAAACAGAGAGAAGAGGUUUUUCCAGACUCAAAGCAGUAACACAGGGGAGAUAAACAAAUAGACAAAAAAAAGAAGAAGAGGAAAGAAAGCAGAGACGAACAAAGGGGAGCUGGGAAAACAGAGGAAAAAAGAAGAACGACCCAGAGUCAAAAUCCCCUGCAGCCAUUUUGAUCGUCUCCAGAAGCAGAGAGAAGGAACAAUAGAGGAAGAACUUAAGAAGGGAAUAGCACCAACCGCCCUUAACUUCGUCUUCAUCUUCAGGAGCAGCAGCCCACAGGUAUGUUUCUCUACAUCUCCUCUCGCUUUUCAGUUUUAAUUCAUGCCAUACUGUUCAUGUGAAUUUUAAUUCACUGAACACUUAGACACGCGUGAACCAGCUCACGCGUGUUAUUUGCCCAGCCGGGCUCAACCCAGCCCAUGUGGGUUGAGCUGGGCCCGCCUAAAAAUAAAAAAUAAAAAGAUAAAAAAAUAUAUAAUAAAAAUUGUGUAUGUAAAACAAAUAUAUAAAAAUAAAUUUAUUGUUUUUUUAUUUAUUCAUUGACGCCAGAGUCAGAAUAAAAAUAUCAAUUCAAAUUUAUUUUAUUGUAUUUUAUUUGGUUAUAUAAAAAAUGUGCGUGCAAAAAAAAAUAACUUAAGAUAAAAUAAAAUAAAUUUAUUCGGCAUAUUCACUGACGCCAGAGUUAGGAAUAAAAAAUACUAAUGUAAAUUUAUUUUAUUUUGUUUUUAUUUAGCUACAUAAAAAAUAAAAAUAAUGCGUAUGCGUAAAAAAUAAAUUGAUUUUUAUUUGUUUAUUCACUGACGCCAGAGUCAGGAAUAUAAAAAAUGAUGAUUUAAAUUUAUUUAUUCUGAUACUUACGUAAUAUUUACCAGCGCCAGAGUUGGAAAUAUCCGUAGUUGAAUAUUCACCGACGCCAGAGUCAGGAAUAUUAUACGCAAACAAUCAUAGUAUAAAACAACAUAAAAUGUUAGCAAUUAAUGACAAAGAUUAGCAAUGCAGCCUGUCUUAGGUAGGACGUUUAAGGGGUGAUAAUAUCUUCCCUUUUACGUAACCAGUCUCGGACCAUAGAAUCUCUGUUGACCAGUUAGGGUUCCUAGUAACCGUAAUACUAGGUGACGACUCCUUAAACAAAGAAUAUCCUCAUUAAAGAACAUGAUGCCAGAAAUCUGUUCUUUCCAAAGAUUUAAUAAAUUUUUAAGGCUGCCGCGAUGUCGGGUGCGACAAUAUCUAAAUUAGAUAACAAAUAAGUUAUACUUGAUGAGUUGUUGUCAAUGGUUAGGUUUCAGAGAAAGGCAUGACAGCUUCUCCUUUAUGGGUAUUGCUUGGAGUAUCCGGUUAACCGGAAAUAAUUUGGUUUUCAAUGAUGCACAACGAAAUAUGAAAGUCAUGCUUCUCUUUAACCCUCCACUGGCUGUCCGCAUGGUUACAAAAUUACUGUGAAGAGCAUUUCAAUUGCUGCAUUCACCAAGUUGAUUGAUUCUCAUUUUUUCCUUUGUAGUGGUAGAAGACAUCUAUAGACGAAGACAGCCAUUUCUCUCCAUGGAUGCUAUAUAUACUUCAUCCAACCAACAAAAGAGAAGUAAUAUAUUUUUCUCUGCAGAUAUAUACAGACAAGGUUCUUCUGUGCAGUGAAGCCAAUGUAUGAGAGACCUAUGACCCUGACUUUCUCUUAAAAUAUAUAUAUAUUUUAAAGUUAAUACGGGUUUUUGGAUCGGUUUAUGUAUAUUUUAAUUAAUUCUAUUUUAUAAGUUUUAAAGUAAAUAAUUAUGUGAAUUCAACUUAUAAUUAUUAAAAAAACAAAUUUAAAAUCUGAUUAAGUUAUCCUUGAUAUUUCUGAUACCCCCGACUCUUGUUUACACAAUGCCGGCGGUGACAGAUACAUCAUAUGUUUUUUUUUUACAGUAAAGAAGGCCGGUGUUCUUACUAUUAGUUUUUUUUUAUUAUUAUAAAUUAAAGAUCAUUAAUGGAAUCUGCUAGUUUUUUUUUACAGUAAAGAUGGCUCGAAUUUUUUAGAUUAUUUUUAUUCCGACAACAAUUUUUAAUGCUAGCAAAAUAUUUCAUUGAUAGUACUUUUAUAAUUCCAUUGAUAUUUUUAUUGGUAUUAGAAAUCACCAACAGAACAAAAAAAGCCAAUGAGCAACUUUCAAAAGAUGAUUUUCCAUUAGCAAUUCCAUCAAUAAUUUCUAAUAAUAACAAAAUUCUCUCUAAAUACUCUUUUAGCAUUCCUUAAUUUUCUGCUAGUGUUUAACGUAAAUAACUUCCUUUUGUUUUUCAAUUAAACAAAGUUCUCUCUAUAUUUUUUUACUUGCUUUAAAAAUUAACUUAAAAACUUAUAACAAGAGUUAUUGCACCAAUGAGAACUAAAUACCAUUAUCUUGUACAAAAAAAAAAGUAGGUUGCAGUCGAGAAAUAAUUUAUUUUCAUUUUAGUUUUGUAUUUUUGGAUAAUUUUUUUUAGGUUUUUUUGGGCUAAUAAGUUAUUAUUUUUUUAAGUUUUAAGGGUAUUUAUUAAAAAAAAAUUUAGUGAAAAUUAUGAAAAUAAAAUUUUAAAUAAAAGAACAUCCUCUCAAUUUUUAGUCAUUUUUACUAGAAUUUAGAUGUGGAAGCGACACAUCAUUUGUUUCUUAAAAAAAAUUAGAAAGAUGACAAGUUAAAAAAAAAAAAAAAAAAAAAACACCUCGAGGUGAACGGGUCUAGGCUAACAAACCCACAUGCCUAGACUUAUUUUUAAAGCUUCAAUCUUGGUAGGCCACCUAGUCCUGUGUGCCUCACAUUUUUUUUAAAAACAAUUUCAAAUACUUUUACUGUGAUUUCUUAAAUUUUAAUUAAUCAAAUAUUUAUUAGGUAUAUUAUUUUAUUAGAUUCUUAAAAUGAUUAAGUAUAUAUUUAGAUAUUAUUUUAGUUGUAAGUCGAUCAUUUUUUAUCAUGUUUUCGAAUGACAUUAUACUCUUUUAUUUUAUUUUAUUAGUAAGCAUUCUUUUUAUACACCUAUCAUAUAUUUUUUUCUUAAGCAAAAUUAAUAUGUUGCUUUUAUUGUGAGAGUGUAUUUUUUAUCAUAUAAUUAUAUAAAAUUAUAAAAAAAUAAAAUUAUUAAAUUUAAUUAGGUUCAUAACUUGGAUCGCUAGUUUAGUAUAUUAACCAUGGUUACAUAGUUUCGAUCUGAGAUAUCUUCGACUCAAUAUUAAAAGAAAAACAUUAUCUUAAAAUAUUUAUUGAAGUCAAACUAAGUUUUACGGUUGAUCGUUUGACCCACUUUUGAUUCUAUCAAAUUAUCUAGAUUAUAUCAUAUCAAUCUCCAUAUAAUUAUAUUAGAAAUUUUAGAUAAAUAAAAAAUUAGGUUGGAAAAUUUUAAAAUUGAAUCAUAUGGGCUAAAUUUAAUAAUAUUAUCAAAGAGUUCUUCGUGACAAUAUCUAAACACUACGUUAUUGUUAUAUAUUUUUUAAUAUGUUCGUGUCUAAGUUAUCAAAAUGUUUAUUUUAUAUAUAUAAUUCAAACUUCCUUUUAGGAUAAUAAUAAAGUGUUGCCUAAAAACUAAAUAUUCUGAUAAAGACUUUUUUUUUUUUAAAUGAGCGUGUCAGCUAGGCAAACAGAUUCUAAUUACAGAGAUAUUUUUUUCUUUAUUUUAAAUCAUUCAAAUUCUUUUGGAUAUGUAUUCUAAUUUCUUUUAACUUUUAUUAAAUGAAAGAUAUGCAACAAAAAGUUGAUGUUUUUUUACUGGAAUUAAAAAUAUUAAUAAAAGAAGGAAAUAUAAUAGAAAAUUAGUUUGUCUAAAAAAAAUUUGAAUUAUUAUUUUUUAUAAUUAAAAUAUUGUUAUAUAAUUAAAUAUAAAUAAUUGUAGGGUUCUUUGUAAUAUAAAAUCGAAUAUCUUAAUUUGUAUUUGUUUUUAAUAAUUUAUUUUUUAAUAUUUAUUAGCACUUAUAAUUUUUAAUUUAUUUUAUUAAAUAUAUACAUCAAAUUUUAAAUUUACAAAUAAAUUUUUUUUAUAACUAAAAAAUAUAUUAUCAAUCCUUGUACAAAUUUUUUUAUAUAUAAAUUUUUUAGUAUAGCAUGUAGGAGCUCGGGUAGUAUUUCAUAAAGCACCGGCCACUAAUAUUUUUUUAUUAUCAUAAAGACAGUGUAUACAUACUGUAUCGGAUCGGUUGCACAAUCAUUAUAGUCUCCUACCACCUUAAAGUCAACCUGUUAAACUACUUGUUGUUCUCCCACAAACUCAGACACACUAACUUCAGUGCUAGCCAUGUCAUCAACAGUGACGUCUGAUAACGACAAGAAAUAAGCAUCUGGGGUGGUCUUUAUCAGUUUGGUUAGCAUUGCUCAUCUUGUUCUUACCUGUAAAGGAGAGCGCUGAGAGAAUCAACAGAAGGUGAGCUCCUGGAGAGAUGAGAAUUUCAAGGUCCAACAUUAAGAAUUGUUUCUUGGUAUUUUGUGCAAGCCUUCUGGUUGCAAGAAGCUGCCAUGGUUCUAAGCAUGUUGCCUUAUUUAUCUUUGGAGAUUCAUUAUAUGAUGCUGGAAACAAUAAGUACAUCGAAGAUGCUCCUAUCUUUUCAGAUUUCUGGCCAUAUGGAGAAACCUUCUUUAAGCAUCCCACAGGAAGGCCUUGUGAUGGUCGAUUAAUUCCAGAUUUUAUUGGUAAGUUCAUUACAGUUAAGAGCACCUUAAUUCAUUCUUUUUUGUUCUUUCUUUUCUUAUUUUUAUGAAAUGUUUUGUGACAGCUCAAUAUGCAAAUCUACCUUUAAUUCCGCCAUAUCUACAACCUGGUGACCAUCAAUUUAUGGAUGGAGAAAACUUUGAGUCAAAAGGGGAUCUUGUUCUCGCUGAAAAUCUCCAAGGAAUGGUAUGUCUGUCAUCAUGUUGUUUUUUUCUUGGUGGGGUCUUCAAUGUUAUUGAUCCCCACCACUUUUCGUCUUUUUAUAAAUUAAUUAAACUCGAGAUCUCUCUUAAAUCUUCUAAAGGAAUAAUGAGAUUCAAUGAUUUUUUUCAAGGUGAUAAGCUCUGAAAUACAACAACAUCUACAAUCCAGUAGUCAUCGAUUUAUAAAUGGAGUGAACUUUGCAUCAUCUGGAGCUGGUGCUCUUGUUGAAACUCAUCAUGGAUGGGUAUGUCAAGGAUACAAAGUUUACUGUCUUAGAUAUGUUCCAUAACUUUUGUUUUUGGUUUUUCAUUUUUUCCCAUUUCUUGGAAGGUGAUAAACCUUAGCACUCAACUAAGCUAUUUCAAGCAUAUGAAAAGGCAGUUAAGGCUUCAACUAGGUGAAGCAGAAGCUAAAAAAUUGCUGUCCACAGCGGUUUACAUUUUCAGCAUUGGAGGCAAUGACUACUUUGCAGCUCUAACACCAACGCACAGUUUGCUUCAAUUCUAUUCAAGAGAAGAGUAUGUUGGGAUGGUUAUUGGAAAUAUAACAACAGUGAUCCAAGUAAUUUAGCAUGCUAAAGAACCAUUCUUUCUCUUCUUUCCAAGUUGAUCAUGGAUUAUGAUUGCGUAAUUUUACUGUUCCAGGAAAUAUACAAGAUAGGAGGGAGGAAAUUUGGAUUGUCAACGUUGAUCGCUUUGGGUUGUCUACCAUCCUUGAGAGCAGCUAAACAGGAAAGAACAGGUGUGUCAGGCUGCUUGGAUGAAGCUACAAUGUUUGCAAAGCUACACAACAGAGCACUCCCUAAAGCACUCAAAGAGCUUGAGGGACAACUAGAAGGAUUUAGAUACUCAAUUUUUGAUGCCUACGUUGCUGGAAGGGAGAGAAUUAAUAACCCUUCAAAAUAUGGUAAUUCCUGUCUAUAAGCAUUAAAUAAUUAAAAAUCAAGGUCCCUAUAUAGAUUUCCUAUCCUUGUUAUGAAUUUAAAUGUGAUUUCUCCAUAUAUAUAUGAAGGUUUCAAGGAGGUUCAAGAGGCAUGUUGUGGCAGUGGUCCUUACAGAAGCCUCCGUACUUGUGGUCAGAAAGGAUAUCAAUUAUGCGACAAUGCAAGUGAAUAUUUCUUCUUUGAUGCGGCUCAUCCAACUGAGAGUGCCAACAAUCAAUUUGCGAAGCUAAUGUGGAGUGGAAGUCUUGACAUCGUGAAGCCUUACAAUCUUAAAACACUGUUUGAGGAAUAGCCGAAAAUAGAGUUUAUUUUUAACGAAAUGCUACGUUCGUUUUCCUGCUGAUCUAUCAAUUUGCCUUUUGAUUUAUGGAAAAGUCCAACUUGCUUUGGCCUUGUGUUUUUCUGGGACCUCUUUCACGGUUGUAGACCAUGCAUGGCCAAAAUUUCUAAAUAAAAAAUUUAAAAUUCCGAUGAAUUUCAUGGUAUUGUGUGAGUAAUAUAUUAUUACUUUAUUUUAAUAAUUGAAAUAUCAAAAUGAAGAAAGAGAGAAAAUCAUGUGGGAAAUACCUUGUUUUCCACCUCUUGCAAAAAACCUUCAUUGCUGAAACAAACAUGUUUCUAAUUUUAAUUUGUUCAUUUAAAAUUCUCAAGAAAACUUCAAGAACUUUCAAAUUAAAAGAUAUAUAUAGCUAGAUACCGUUUAGUUAUUGUUUUAAAAUAAAAACAAUAAAAACAAUAAAAACAUGUUUUUCUAUACUUUUUAUAAAAACAAAAUACAAAAAUUUACUCCAAAACUAAUUUCCUGAUAAACAACUCUUUGAUCAGUUAAAAUCAAACUUUAAUUGAAUAAUUAAUCAACUCGUUCACCAUGUGCACACAUAAAAAUAUAUAUUAAUUUCAGCUUCCAUCAUCCAGCAACCACGAAGUAACCUCCCUCCCUCCCUCAUUUUUUAUGCUUUAUUUCGACAACAAACAUAAAAAAAAAAUAUUCUGACAAUAUUAUUGAUUUUAUAUUUAAACUAUUUUUUAUCAAUUUUAUUCCUAAAUUAUUUUGAUUUCUCAAUCAUAACUUACAUAACGGAAACUGUUUAAUUCUUUAUAAAAUAAUGUUGUUUUUAUAAGAAAAAUAUGCAAUUUUGAUGAAAAUACGAAUGAAAAUUGAGUGUGAAACUGGAAAAACAAAUGCCAAAUAUAAAAUGCUAGAUAAAUAUUGGAAGAAAACUUAAAAUAAAUGUGGCUAGAUGACAAAUUUUCAAAUCUUAGAGGAUCAAUUAAAAUCAAACCUUAAUUGAAUAAUUAAUCAACUCGUUCACCACGUACACGCAUAAAAAAAUAUUUCAGCUUCCAUCACCCAGAAACCUCCCUCCCUCCCUCAUUUUUUAUGGUUUAAUUCUAUAAUAAACUUCAAGCUAUUAGGACAAUAUUGAAUUUAUAUUUAAACUAUUUUUAUAUCAAUUUCAUUCCUAAACUAUUUUAAUUAUAAUCAUUCCUAAAUUAGAGUCAUCAGAUCAUAUGUUGCUACAAUGCAAUUUUUCUAUGGAUAAAAUUUAUUUUAUGGUGUUGGUGGGGUGUCUUUUGGAGUGUUCCUGUAGAAAUUUGAAGCAGAGUAAUGAAGAGACGUGAGACAGUUCAGUUGCGAAACAGAGUUAUUCAUUCAUACCUCUUUCUUAUGCUGUACAUGUUAUAUAUAGAGUGGGAAAAACUUGCAGCAAGGAAAGACAAUCUUGCGUAUAUUUUCUCCCAUGAUUAUUGCUAAGAUUGUAUGCUAAUAAUAAAUACACAAUCACAUCUAAACUAGAUAAUAAAUAAGUAAUACUUGAUGAGUUGUUGCAAAUAGUUAGGUUUCAGAGAAAGACAUGGCAACUCCUCCUUUAUGGGUAUUGCUUGGAGUAUCCGGUUAACCGGAAAUAAUUUGGUUUUCAAUGAUAUACAACGAAAUAUGAAGUCAUGCUUCUCUUUAACCCUCCACUGGCUGUCCGCAUGGUUACAAAAUUAAUGUGAAGAGCAUUUCAAUCGCUGCAUUCACCAAGUUGAAUGAUUCUCAUUUUUUCCUUUGUAUUGGUAGAAGGCAUCUAUAGACGAAGGCAACCAUUUCUCUCCAUGGAUGCUAUAUACUUCAUCCAACCAACAAAAUAGAAGUAAUAUAUUUUUCUCUGCAGACAUGUACAGACAAAGUUCUUCUCUGCAUGGAGACCUGUGAACCCUGACUUUUUUUUUUUAUAUAAUUAAUGUGGGUGUUCGGGUUAGCUUACGUAUACUUUGAUUAAUUCUAUCCCAUGAGCCUUGAAGUUAAUGAUGAUAUAAGCCUUCAAUAAUCUUAAGAAAAUUCGAAUUCAUAAUCAUUAAAUAGUAAACUUAAAAUUUAACUAGUUGAGUUACCCCUCAAGAUUUCUGAUACCUUAACUCUUGUUUACACACAAUGCCGGCGGUGCUAGUUAGGGGUGAUCAUUUUCGGUUCGGUUCGGUUUUUAUCAAAAAAAAAGUAACCAAACCAAAUUUUUUUUUAAAAAAAACCGAAACUGAACCGAAAUCGAUUCAAACCGACCGGUUUCAGUUUGGUUUUUUAGGAUAAAAACUGGUUUGGCUCCGUUUUCUCAGUUUUGGCUCGGUUUUUUUCCGGUUUUGGCUCUGUUUUUUUGGUUUGGCUCGGUUUUUUCGGUUUGGGUCUGGUUCGGUUCGGUUUUUUUUUGUUUUAGGCUUAUAAAACCGAAACCGAACCGGCCAGUUUUUUUAAAAUUUUAAUCGGUUUUUUUUUACGGUUCGGUUUUUUUAUUAUUUUCUUGAUUUUCAGUUUUUUUCUCACUCUAUCGAUGUUUUUUUUUACAAUAAAGAAGGCUGGUGUUCUUACUAUUAGUUUUUUUUUUAUUAUUAUUAUUAUAAAUUAAAGAUCAUUAAUGGAAUCUGCUAUGGAAAGAAUAUUCCGUUAGCAAUUCUAAUUUUUUAGAUUUUUUUAUUCCGACAGCAAUUUUUAAUGCUAGCAAAAUAUUCCAUUGCUAUUUUUAUAGGUAUUAGAAAUCAUUAACGGGAUAAAACAAUUUUAUGAGCAACUUUUUAAAGAUAAUAUUUCAUUAGUAAUUCCAUUGAUAUUUUCUGCUAGUGUUUAAAAAUUAAUAAUUUCUAAUAAUAACAAAAUUCUCUCUAAAUACUGAUAGAAUACUCUUUUAGCAUUCCUUAAUUUUCUGCUAGUGUUUAACGUAAAUAACUUCCUUUUGUUUUUCAAUUAAACAAAUUAUCAUACUUUAAAUUGCAUACUGAUAUAUUUUUUUUCUUGCUUUAAAAAUUAACUUAAAAACUUACAUGUAGUAUAACAAGAGUUAUUGCACCAAUGAGAACUAAAUACCAUUAUCUUGUAAAAAAAAAGAAGAAGAAGGUUGCAGUUGAGAAAUAAUUUAUUUCCAUUUUAAUUUUGUAUUUUUGGACAAUUGUGUUUAGGUUUUUUUGGGCUAAUAAUUUAUUAUUAUUUAAAAUUUUUAAGGAUGUUUAUUAAAUUAUUUUUUUGAUGAAAAUAAUGAAAAUAAAUUUUUAGAUAAAAAUAACAUCCUCUCAAUUUUUAGUCACUUUUACUAGAAUUUAGAUGUGGAAGUUACACGUCAUUUGUUUCUUAAAAAAAAUUAGAAAGAUAACAAAUUUGAAAAAAUAAUAAAAAAAAGCCUUGAGAUGCAGUGGCAUAGGCUAGCAGACCCGCAUGCUUAGAUUUAUUUUUAAAGGUUCCAUCUUGCUAAGCCACCUAGUCCUGUGUGCCUUGCUUUUUUAAAAAAAAAAUUCCAAUAAUUUUAGUGUGAUUUCUUAAAUUUUAAUUAAUCAAAUAUUUAUUAGGUAUAUUAUUUUAUUAGAUUCUUAAAGUGAUUAAGUAUAUAUUUAGAUAUUAUUUUAGUUAAAGUCGAUCAUUUUUUACCAUGUUUUAGAAUAAAAUUAUUUUUUUAUUAUUAGCAAGUAUUCUGCAUGGACGAGAGAGAGCCAGCGACCUUUUGGGCUUCAUUGAAGCCCGAGGUUAAUCAGAAGAUGAAUUCAACUCCUUUCCAGGCUGCUAUAGAGAAUUUCUAUAUGACUGAUUCUAUUACCAGGGCAUCAAAGAUAAUGGCUCAAUGCAGUUCACUGCUGCUAAAGAAGUGAGUUCUUGAUUUGUUUUAUCUUUCCAAAAAACUUGCAAAUUCACUUUUAUUUGUAUAAUCAUUCAAGCCGUGCAAGGCCUUGUUUGGCAAAGGGGCAAGCUUGUGGAGCUUUGGAAGUACAUCCAAUAAGGUUACUUUUGGAUUCUGUUUAUUUCACUGUAACAUGUCCAAUGUAAUAGCAUUUCCCUGUAACCUUUUUGUGUGUAAGACACUGGACUUCCCAGGUUUUUUUUGGCUCAAUCUUAUAAGAUGCUCCAGUUUGCGGCAGCAUCUGCUUUUGUUCACCAAUUCUAUUUAAUAAAGAAACAUCCUCGUGGAGUGACGUUAUCUUUUUAGUUAAUUCUUAUCCAUGGUGGGCUAGUGUGUUAAUUAAAAAAGCAGGUUGUCUCCUCAUUACUUGAUAAGCUCUUUGUUCACAACUGUUGAAAACCAUAUUCAGGGAGUUUCCUUUUAGCAAGUUUCAAGUAGCUCACUGUUUGGUCUCUAACCCUCCACGAGUGCAUUUUGCCAUCUCCAUUGCAAGCUUCUGUAGCUUCUUACCCUUUAAGCAUCUUGCCAUGAUCUCAACCCAUUUGCUAUGCGGUAUGGACUCCAAUUUGUCCCAGUUUAGCAAACUGUAAGGUGCUACUUUGGCAGUUAGGGACAAUCUAGCUAUUAAGAAGGAAUGCCUACCUCCUUCAUGCAUUGCAAGAUUCAUUGGAUUUUACAUCAAAUUAAAAAGGGCUGUUGUGUAGCAGACUUGGUAUUUGAAGAUAUUUGAAAACAACAAUAAAGAAAACAAUUGGAGAUAUUUGAAGCACGUUGUGUUGCACAUUGAUCAUGGAAACAUCUCAUAAAACUAGAGUAAUUAUUUAUUUUGCUCCUUAAAUUCAUCUAAAAUUGAUGGUGUUGCUCAUAGACGAUCAGAAGCAUUAUUUCUACAAGUUCCAUGGCCAGUAAUAUCAGUUUCCCGUGACUCUGUCAAGUUCAUGAGCAGAAUUGGUAUCGUCUUGAGAAGCAGAAUCAGCAUUUCCACAACAAAUUUUCAUAAUAUUAUUACAGCAUCUACUAAAUUGAAGCGUGCUAAAAGUGGCUCCAUGACUAACACCAGUUGUUGCAGCAACAACUGGUGUUUGUCAAACUGAUUGGAUGAUGGGGGUUGGACAUGAGGUUAGAAAGAUUUUCCAUGAUGUUACCAGCACUGUUUACCUAUAAAAUCUAAAAGGAGGAGCCAUUGGCAUCUGUUAAGGCAUUUUUUAUUGUUUCUUGUAAAUCAGGGAGAAUCAAGCUCAAGACUUGUUGAUUAGUCUAGUUCUAAUCACUGUCUUUUAAGUGCAUUGAUUAAUUAAAAAUGCAAGUCAAUCUUGUUUUUUUUUCAUAGAGCAUUUACCUGAUCUUUAUGUUUUCAUCUCAUAAUUGAAGGUUUAAUCAAGGUUAUGCAUGCUGAUGUUAAAGCCAGAUUAGCAGGGGUGAUUAUGCAUAACAGAGAGGAUCCUGUAAUUCCAAUAGGUGCCAGCAAAUGGUCAUCAGUUGACCACUCACCAUCCAAAGUCUAGUACCAUAAUAUCUUUGAAUUGUCAUCCCCUCCUUUGGCCACUUCUAUGUCAUCCUCUGACGCUAAACCAAGGAAGCCUGCACUUUUGCUGAUUAGUAACAUCAAUUCUGGAAACAGAACAUCUUGUUCUCACCAGUAUUUCAUCAGUGAGAAAACGAGAAUUACAUCAUCAGUAUAAUUUCCUACUCCAUUCCUUUCCUUCUAUGGCUAUGGAUCGAUGGCAUUACUAUCAUUUCCUUUGAUAAUGAAAACCAAAAAGGAUUUUCAGAAAGGAGAAUCUGAUUAAAGAUUGGUUCCUGCAAAGAACUUUCAGAAUGCCCUGAAGUGGCUUCUGGAGGAAUGUCUGGCAGAUGAUUACUUGCUGUUCUACUUCUCAGGACAUGCAUUCAGAGUUCUAGCAACCUGAUUUCAAUGUCGAUGCCUCAACUAGGAAAAUCAGAAUUCAGAGUUCUAGCUAAAUGUUAUCAAGAACACACCAGAAGAUCCUCAAAAUGAAGAUAUUUAUGAUUUAUAAAAUAAGACAAACAAAGAUCGUAUGAAGUAGAAUUGCAAGUACAAGGUAAUGGUAACUAAAGGUUCAUGUGGUCUCGCUCUUGUAAUUUACAAGGCUAAGUAAAGAAAGAAAAGGCAUGAACAACAAUUUCACCAAAAGAAAAUACGCGGGGAAGGAAAUUAAGAUGAAAUCUUUAUACCCAUAAAUGCAAUGCCAAAAAGUCCAAUUGCUGUAAUCUAUUACAAUCCCCAAUGUCCCCGUCAUUCCAAUGUUGAUGAGUCCAAUCCAUCCUUUUUUCAGUUGAUUUCAAUGUCAGGGAUGUGAGCUAUCUUAGGCCAGUCCUUUCCUCUCUCUUUCUCACACCUUUUCUCCAAAUUUGGACAAUCGUAGAUCACUAGAGAUAGGAGAGAAGUGAGAUGUUGGAUACUAUCUGGCAAUGAAUUCAGCUCGGGACAUCGAUAAAGCCCCAAAUACUCAAGUGCUGUCAGAUGUCGCACUCCCUCAGUUAGCGAUGCAAAUUGAUUACAACCUUGAAUCAAAAAGCGACGAAGAGAAGAUAAGCCACACAGCCCAUUCAUUGGCAAAGAAUUUAAUCUUCC